Passer montanus (Eurasian tree sparrow) is the source of this 2165-nucleotide long non-coding RNA. RefSeq lists it as uncharacterized. The transcript is spliced from 4 exons. Lineage: Eukaryota; Metazoa; Chordata; Aves; Passeriformes; Passeridae. The record is from RefSeq and is a predicted model, not a curated record.
GGGCUGCUUGUUGGUGUUGAGGAGGUUGUGGAACUGUGCAGCCACUUCCCAGGACUGUGAUGGAAAACGUGCUUUGGACAGAGCAGUUCUUACUCAGGCACUGGGGCUCCACUGCCUGAUUUAUGUCUGGGAAUCCUCGUCUGGGCUUUUGGAUCAUGAAAACAAAUUUGCUUGAGAGGUUCUGCAGAAGUAGAUGAGGAUGAGCAAUACUGCACCUGUAUGUGCUGGAUAGAAGGAAAGUGGCAACAGAAGAAUAAUAAUUUUUAAGAAUCAGAACAUAUGAGGAUUUUAAGGCUGCAGAGGCUGCAGUGGGACACAGGCCUGUGCUUCACAACCAUCUAGAAACUCAAAAAAGGUGAAAUUGUCUCAAAGCUCAUUUGUGCCUGGACUGCAAGGGCUGAAGUAUCUCUCUGGGCACUGCAGAACUGCUCUGGCCUCAGAGCUCAGCACCCCCCACACCGUGGGGGAGACUCUUGGUUUAGACACAGAACCUGCUUGAUCAUGUGGCUGCUGACAUCCCUUGUCAGCCACAGAGGACUUAAGGAUUUUGAUCACCAAGGCUGUUUGGACUUGGAUGCAAGAGCUCCCAGGGCAAUUGGUGUGUAUGUAGUGGGACUGGUGCCAAAUUGGCUCUCUGCCUGGCAGAGCACUGGGAUGCAGCAGGACCAUGUCUCCAAGCCUGGGAAUGAAGAAGUGUCCCCAGGCUAAGUCAAAUGUCAAAGGCACUUGUUCUGGGGAGGACUGACUGGAAGAACAGAGGUAGGAAUGUGAUCUGCUAACACUUCACCACAUCGGAGAUGUGGUAAUUCUAGGAAAAAAAUGCCAUCAUGGAUGAUUAGGACACUGCUAAAUAUGCAUUUCAAGCAGAAAAUUAAGAAUCCUUCAAAAGACCUUUAAGAUUCUCUAUAAAUUAACAUUUGCAGCAGGUAUUUUAAACUAAUUUUGUUGCCUGUCCCACUGCUCUUUGCCAUUUGAUGCAGUUCCUGCUCAGCCUUGCUUUUUUGCUCUGUUUGGCUUAUCUCUGGCCAAGGCUUUAAUCCCCUAAUAGCAAACUGAGGUCAUAUCAGCACUCAAAUUCUGCUGUGAUGUGCAGCCACUUUAUCAAUGUGAGAAGAGCCUCACUCCCUGACCCUGGGAGCUGCACUACAGGGCUGUACACGUGCCACCAACAUGCAGGUCACACAAAACAGCCAGCACCAGGCACCACCCCUGAGAUUUCCAGCAGAGCAAAUAGACGUGUCCACCUGAAAGAAAGAACAAAGGCUGGAGCUGCUGCUUCACAGGUUUGAGGAUUACUGCUUCUGCUUGAAAGAUAAUUAUAUGUUUUAUAUACAUUAAAUGACUGUACCAACUGAAGAGUAAUUUUAGCAUAGAAAGAAAAAGUAACUUAAAAAACAAUCAAAGGAUAAACAAAAAAGAUGAAUGUUCACAUUUUUAUUAAGCAUCAAACAAAUGAAUAAGCAUGAAUAGUUAAGAAAAACAUAAGUAUGAAUAGUUAAGAAAAAUAUUAGAAAAAACCCUGAGAGAUACAAAGUCUUUACUUUGUCUACCACCAUGGUUUCCUCCAAGUCUGCCAGUUUGACUCUCAACUGACAUCAGGCCUCAAAAGGACUUAUUAAUUUAGGAUGUGAAGUAUUGCUUUCUCUAAAAGCUGAAGAAAAUAUAAAAUCAGAACAGAACUCAAAGGCUUAAAUACUAAAUUUCUUAGUAGUGAGACAGGAAAAAACCAAACCUGAACGAGUGCUCUGGGCAAGUAUUUGAUUUCUUUUUUAAAAUUCUUUUUCAUAAAAUGCAAUACAAUGUUUAAAAAGUACAGAAAUGCUGAUUGGAAGGUCUUCUUCUUUACAAAGAAUAUCUCCAGAAAGAAUUUCAUGGUGCAAUCCAAUUAGCCUUUCUGUAGCUGCAAAAUGCUUCACAAAACCAGCUCCCUAAGUUCAUGUGUAUUGAGCAGUUCAAGUGAAAAUCUGUCAGUGGAACUGAAUUAAAACCAUAGAGCCAAGGUCUCUCCUAGUAUAAAUCAUGUACAUUGCUAUAAUAAAACAACAUACAACAGAAGCAAUUCUUCACACCACUGAGUUUUUGGCAUGGGAGUUGGUCCCAGAAUCCAAGUCUUACUCUUCCAGCUUCCAUAUUUCAUAAUGUGUCAGAAAACCUAAACUACAAUA